AGACGUGAUGAAAACGACCCACAGAACGUACAGUCUUUAUAUCAGCGUAAAUUAUAAUCAACGUGAACAUAAGCCAGCACUGAUGAUGAAUUUGUUUGUCUGUGUGAUCAUUGCAGCAGUAGCUGUGACUAAUAUCACAUGUAGCAAAUAGAUAAAAGCAACACCUCUGGCUUGCCUUCAACCCAAGCUGACAGGUAUGUGCGAUGGCUACUUCAUUCGGUACUACUACAAUGUUGUCACCCUGAUGUGCCAGGAGUUCGUCUACGGUGGAUGCGAGGCCAACGAAAACAAUUUCCAUUCACUUGAAGAAUGCAAACACAAAUGUAAUGCAUAACCCACAAUUAUUAAUCCUCUUUGUUGGUUAGGAACGUCAGUGUAAAGUGUAUUCAAUUAAUCUGUUCCGAGUCAGACUUAUACAUGACACGUGGAAACACUUUUGAAAAUAAGUAUUGGCUUUUGUGAUAAUUUCUGAAUAUUAUUUGACAUUUUCUGUUAAACCUGCCAAAGUAAAUUGUUAGUAAUUAAGUUAUUAAAAUAAAAAUAACCACUA
This is a long non-coding RNA of Dreissena polymorpha, 550 nucleotides long. RefSeq lists it as uncharacterized. The record is from RefSeq and is a predicted model, not a curated record. The transcript has 3 exons. Lineage: Eukaryota; Metazoa; Mollusca; Bivalvia; Myida; Dreissenidae.